GAUGAACGCUGGCGGCGUGCCUAAUACAUGCAAGUCGAGCGAACAGACGAGGAGAUUUCUCCUCUAACGUUAGCGGCUGACGGGUGAGUAACACGUGGAUAACCUACCUAUUAGACUGGGAGAACUUCGGGAGACCGGAGCUGAUACCGGAUAAUAUAUUGAACGGCAUGGUUCAAUAGUGAAAGACGGUUUUGCUGUCACUUAUAGAUGGAUCCGCACCGCAUUAGCUAGUUGGUAAGGUAACGGCUUACCAAGGCGACGAUGCGUAGCCGACCUGAGAGGGUGAUCGGCCACACUGGAACUGAGACACGGUCCAGACUCCUACGGGAGGCAGCAGUAGGGAAUCUUCCGCAAUGGGCGCAAGCCUGACGGAGCAACGCCGCGUGAGUGAUGAAGGUCUUCGGAUCGUAAAACUCUGUUAUUAGGGAAGAACAAAUGUGUAAGUAACUAUGCACGUCUUGACGGUACCUAAUCAGAAAGCCACGGCUAACUACGUG
RNAcentral lists this ribosomal RNA (497 nucleotides) under uncultured bacterium. RNAcentral describes it as "partial 16S ribosomal RNA". It matches the Rfam family "Bacterial small subunit ribosomal RNA", at positions 28 to 507 of the family's 1533-position model. The record is from RNAcentral.